Molecule: long non-coding RNA, 479 nt
Organism: Oncorhynchus tshawytscha (Chinook salmon)
Lineage: Eukaryota; Metazoa; Chordata; Actinopteri; Salmoniformes; Salmonidae
Source: Ensembl
CGUUAUUCAAGAUAUAUGUAAACAACAUUCUAAAGAUUGAUUCAGUACAUCGUUUGACAUGUUUCUACUGACUGUUACGGAACAUUUGGACAUUUCGUCACAUUAUAGUGGACGCGCUUUGUGACUUUGGAAUUGUUUACCAAACACACUAACCAAAGUAACUAAUUGGACAUAAAUAACGGACAUUUUCGAACAAAUCAAGCAUUUAUUGUGGACCUGGGAUUCCUAGGACUGCAUUCUGAUGAAGUUCAUCAAAGAGACUCCCUCUGUCCAGCGCUUCCAGAGUCUCCCUCCUGUCCAGCGCUGCCAGAGUCUCCCUCCUGUCCAGCCCUGCCAGAGGCUCCCUCCUGUCCAGCCCUGCCAGAGUCUCCCUCCUGUCCAGCCCUGCCAGAGUCUCCCUCCUGUCCAGCCCUGCCAGAGGCUCCCUCCUGUCCAGCCCUGCCAGAGGCUCCCUCCUGUCCAGCCCUGCCAGAGGCUCC